Molecule: long non-coding RNA, 3562 nt
Filed under: Sus scrofa (pig)
Lineage: Eukaryota; Metazoa; Chordata; Mammalia; Artiodactyla; Suidae
Description: lncRNA (ENSSSCG00000054241.1)
Source: RNAcentral
AGAAAGCUACCUGAUUGCAGGGAGGAAAGAAGUAGUGGAUUGCAGAGAAGGAAAGGAGACAGUGGCUCUGUGUCCCCAAGAGGCUCAAGCGUGAGCCACAGGAGCAGUUCUGGGAAGUAGGGCUGAGGUUUGCAGGGAGGCUACACAGGGAGAAGCUGAGGAUUCAGAGCUGUGGUCCUGGGGACCCAUGACUUUCUGGAGCAGAAGUGCUCUUGAGGAGCAGGAUCAGGAUCAUGUGGCCAGGAAGAUCCAGGGUGAUCUCUGUAGGGACUUGAAUCAGCAGCAGGCUGGGGUGAUGAUGCAGGCCCAAUACCAGGUAAUGGUGAAAAGUAGAGACAGCUGUGGACCCACCCGACUCCAGGAGCUUUCCUCUUCUGAUGAGGAUGUUAGCAUCACCUUGGCUCUCUCCCAGGCCUUCUGCAUUUUUUGAAGAUGGUGAAAAGAGUAGGAUACCAGACAGUCUACUAAUUUGGCACCAGAGGCUCAAGACGGAUUUAUGUAGGGAAAACAAAAAAUAUGUGAUGCUCCUUGUACCUUAAAAAUGUGGAGCAACUCAUUUCAGUUAUGUGGAUCUGCGUUAGCAUCUGCUUGCUUUUUCCUUUUGCCCCAUAUUUCAAGUGGUGUUGUUUUACUCUUUCUGGUCUGUAUUCUUUUUAUUUUCCACACACACAAAAAUUGUGGACUGGCCCGUCUUGCAGACAGAUUGGACUAGGGAAACAGGACAUGCUAUUAUUGUCAGUUAAGUGGUUUUUCACCAGUGCUGUGUUGUAGAUAUGACCUGUGCUCUCAGCUCUUGCUGGGAAAUUACCCUUGUAGACUACGUGAGCAUCUGUGCCUCACUGCUCUCCCUCCUGUCUCAGGGCCAAUACAUCCAGGGGAAAUUCUUUUCUUCAUACAGAAACCAUAUUGUAUUGUUAACAUACUUUUUCCUGUUAAGUUGCAAAUUGCACUGUCUUGUUGCAGUGCUAUCAUUAAAUAUAUUGAGUCUCCAAGGAAAGAUUUAUCUGAAACACAAAUGAGCGGGGUUAUUUUGUGAAUAAAUUAUUAGACUGCAAAUAAUUUUGGCUAGCAAUAGUAGAAGGAAUGCCUCCCACAGAUAAAAUAUCAAUUUCCAUGUGGCAGAGCAAGGAUAGUCUUUGCUGCCGAGGGGCAUAAUGGAUGAUUCUGUUUUGCACUGCUUUCUAAACUGUAAGCAUUUUCACAUCAGUGAUACAAUGUUUGGUCCCAGGAGGACAGUAAGAAUUUCUGAAGAUAGUCUCACUUUCCAAGUACAAAUUGUUCAAAGAGGAACGCUGUGCCCUACAUGCUGGGUUGGAGCAGUUGUGCCCUUUGAGAACAGCAUAGACUUGAUGUUGACUCAAAAAGAUUAGCGAUGCUACCCUAACUUGUUAUAUGACCUUGGUCAAGUCACAGAACCUCUUUGUUUCAUUUAUUGGUUGUUUUAACAUGUAUAAUUUUGACCCUUGGGAAACCCAAGAUCUUUUCCAGAAUGCUGCAAAAUCAUUUCCAUUAAUGGGAAAUGGAAAACAUUCUUUGAGGACUUUCACAGAUAUCAUUUAGGCCCCUAUUUCAAGUGAUGUUUUACUCUUUGGAUGCUCCUGUCUUCUUCAUCUGUACUAAUGCUUGGAGCUGGUUAUAAAGAGCCGUAGACUUCCAGGCCUGUGUCCCAAGCCUCCUAGUACCUGUUUGCAGAGCAGGGAGAGGAUGAUUGCCCUCCUUGACUCUAGGAACUGAUACUUUGUGGGUAGCUCUGGGAGUGCUAUUAGGGAAGAGGCAUUUGGACAGGAUGAUCCCUCAGUGUCGUUGUUUCUUUUUAGGGCCACACCUGUGGCAUAUGGAUGUUCCCAGGCUACGGGUCAAAUAGGAGCUGCAAUUGCUGGUCUACACCACAGCCACCGCAACACAGGAUCCAAGCCACAUCUGCGACCUAAACCUUAGCUCAUGGCAAUGCCAGGUCCUUAACCCACUGAGCGAGACCAGGGAUUCAACCCACAUCCUCUUGCAUACUAGUCAGGUUUGUAACAUGCUGAGCCACAAUGGGAACUCCUACAGUGUCUUGAAAGGGGCACUCUUGCCUUCUCUGCUCAGAUCCCCAAGGAGGUCAUGAGUUGUCCAAAAUGAGAUGUCAAAAGGACUUAUUUACAAAACAUAAACAGACUCAAAAAUUUCAAAAUCAAACUUAAGGUUACCAAAGGGGAAACAUUGAGGGGGGAGGUUGGGAUUAACAUAUACUCACUACUACAUAUAACAUAGAUAAGUAACAAGGACCUAUUGAAUAGCACGGAGAAAUCUACUCAGUAUGCUGUUAUAACUUACAUGGGGAAAAUAUUAGAAAAAAAACAGAUAUAUUUAUAUAUAACUAAAUCACUUUGUUGUACACCUGAACCUAACAUACCAUUGUAAGUCAAUUAUAGUCCAAAAACAUUUUAAUAAAUGAGAUGUCAAAAUUUUAAUAGUUUGCCUUUGGAAUAGAAAUAUACAGAAUAACCAAUCAUCUGUAUCUUUUCCUCCUUUUAAGUGUAUUCCUUUCUUCCCCUGCCUUGUGCCUAUGCUGGGAUAGAUGAAAGAAACAUAAGGGAAAGAGGUCAUCAGUAUAUACUAAUCUCCUCUGAUGUGCCAGGUACUAUACCAGACACUUAAUAAUAAGAUUUUAUUUUAUUCUUGCAAUAUGUCUUUAAAGUAGUUUAGUCAUGAUCCCCAUUUCAUAGGUGAGGAAACCAAGGCUUGGAGCAUUAGCAUAUAUUGCCCCAAAUCACACAACUAAUAAGAAGUAGAGUAGACUGAAACCCAUAUUUAUGUCAGUCCUCAAAAUUUACACUUUAUUCCUGCACUUUUCAUUAAUUUCUCUUCAUUUUUUGGUAACCACUUUUUCUCCAGUGACUUUCUCCCCAUUGCUCUAAUCCCUUCUGUUUGUCCAGAGAUCAGCAUUCCUAAAUCUUUCCCUCCCUCUUCCUCUCCCACUUUGAGGAUCUAGUCCUCUUCACUGAGCUGGCUGCUAGCCAAUCUGAUAAGCUUAUUUCCAUCAAAGUGGUUAGUGACAGAAAGGAUAAAACAUUUCAAAUCUGUAUUUUGUAAUAAUUUUCAGUUUCCAUGGGAGACUAGAUGUGGGAGUUGAUUCUGGUAGACCACAAAAUCAGUCAUAUCAGUGAACCCACAAAAAGUGAGAGACGAUGUAUUUCCCUGGGGAAAGUUCCUUCUAGUUCAUAGCGGUGUGUCUUACUAUGCAGGGGACAAUACGAAGAUGUUAAACAAAGGUUUUCCUUCCCUCUCUUGUGUGAGGGUAUAUAUUAAAAAUCACUCUGAGCAUGUAAAGGAAUUUUGACUUCUAAAAGGACUUACCAGUUGAUUUUACUUUUGAUACAGAUACAUGCCUUCCACUGUCUUUGGGUAGACAUCCCCAAGCCUAGUCUAUCUGAGGUCUUGGUCCUAAAUGCACCAGCCCCCCUCAGCUCACCCCAAGAUGCUUCUGUUUCUUGUGUGGUGUGGGGUAGACAGGAAGAACUUUAGUUUUAGAUUUCUCUUCCCUUAGAUAAAUGAUGUGAGUGUAGUCCUUGAAUUUCAC